Molecule: long non-coding RNA, 875 nt
Filed under: Rattus norvegicus (Norway rat)
Lineage: Eukaryota; Metazoa; Chordata; Mammalia; Rodentia; Muridae
Description: long non-coding RNA NONRATT009782
Source: RNAcentral
UUAUCAAGAAACUGCCUUGUCAUUCACUUUGGUCACUGCUUUGGAAUGUCCCUCGGGGUCCUGCCAGUUUUCGUUGCUUAGGACAGAGAAGCUUCCAGAAAGGCUCCUGUUUAUGUUUUCACAAACUAGAAAUGCUUUUUGUGGUUUAAUGUAACUGAAAAGAAACUCUGGUGUGCUUUGAUUGCGCUUAUAAAAAAGGGAACUGGAGAAUUCAGGAAGUAACCUUGUUAAAGCGGCUGGGAUGGUAAUACAGGUUUAGGGCUGGGGAGGUGGCUCACAGGGUAAAACACUUGCCACGAGUGCGUGAGGGCAUGAGUUCUAACCCCCAGGACCCAUAUAAGAGCUGGACACUGGCAUGUGUUUGCAGUCUUAGUGUUCCUACAGUGAGGGCCAGCUAAUCUGCAGAGGCCAAUGACCAAGAGAGCCUGCAUCAAAGUGGGAGGAAGGCAAGGACUGACAGCCAAGCUGUCCCCUGACCUCUACAUAAGUACCGUGGUACGUGCACACCUGAACUCAUACAUCCUCAUCAUGCACACAGUGCAGGAGGGAGGGGUGAAGAGAGAAGAACAGACAGAGAUAGACAGACAUAGAGACAGAGAGGGAGCGAGAAAUCCGUGCAAGCAUUGAGGCGUUUGCUUGAGGUGCUGAGAGUGGAACUCGGGACCUCGUGCGUGCUCUGAAGAUGAUCUCCCCUGAGCUGGACCCACAGUCCCCGAUAUUAGUUAUCAGUUAUGAUUGUCACUGAGUCUUCCUGAAGCACCAGAGAGGGGGAACUGGGAGCCUGUAUAUUUAGGCUACUGUAAGUCUACUUUGCCUUUGAGAAAGAAGGGGAAAAAUCAAAAUUAGUGAACUAUAAUUGUUUUCUGUACAAGAAA